This 253-nucleotide ribosomal RNA is filed under the name uncultured bacterium. Its description in RNAcentral is "partial 16S ribosomal RNA". It matches the Rfam family "Bacterial small subunit ribosomal RNA", at positions 524 to 775 of the family's 1533-position model. The record is from RNAcentral.
UACGAAGGGGGCGAGCGUUGUUCGGAUUUACUGGGCGUAAAGGGCGCGCAGGCGGCUUAUUUUGUCAGGCGUGAAAGCCCCGGGCUUAACCUGGGAACUGCGUUUGAUACGGAUGGGCUAGAGUUCGGGAGAGGAGAGUGGAAUUCCCAGUGUAGAGGUGAAAUUCGUAGAUAUUGGGAAGAACACCGGUGGCGAAGGCGGCUCUCUGGACCGAUACGUGACGCUGAGGCGCGAAAGCGUGGGGAGCAACAGG